Molecule: ribosomal RNA, 418 nt
Filed under: uncultured soil bacterium
Lineage: Bacteria
Description: bacterial SSU rRNA
Rfam family: Bacterial small subunit ribosomal RNA
Source: RNAcentral
AGAUUGAACGCUGGCGGCGUGCCUAACACAUGCAAGUCGAGCGGUAACAGGUGUAGCAAUACAUGCUGACGAGCGGCGAACGGGUGAGUAAUGCUUCGGAAUCUACCUUAUGGUGGGGAAUAACUAGCCGAAAGGUUAGCUAAUACCGCAUACGUCCUACGGGAGAAAGCAGGGGAUCGCAAGACCUUGCGCCAAAAGAUGAGCCGAAGUCGGAUUAGCUAGUUGGUAGGGUAACGGCCUACCAAGGCGACGAUCCGUAGCUGGUCUGAGAGGACGACCAGCCACACUGGAACUGAGACACGGUCCAGACUCCGUACGGGAGGCAGCGAGUGGGAAUAUUGGACAAGUGGGGAAACCUGACUCAGCGACGCCGCGUGUGUGAAGAAGGCCUGGACGGGUUGUAAAGCUACGUUUAGGU